UGGGGAAUAUUGCGCAAUGGGGGGAACCCUGACGCAGCAACGCCGCGUGAAGGAAGAAGGCUUUCGGGUCGUAAACUUUUGUCUGGAGGGACGAUAGUGACGGUACCUCCGGAGGAAGCCACGGCUAACUACGUGCCAGCAGCCGCGGUAAUACGUAGGUGGCGAGCGUUGUCCGGAAUUACUGGGUGUAAAGGGCGCGUAGACGGGCAUGUAAGUCAGAUGUGAAAUACCGGGGCUCAACUCCGGGGCUGCAUUUGAAACUGCAAGUCUUGAGUGCAGGAGAGGGAAGCGGAAUUCCUAGUGUAGCGGUGAAAUGCGUAGAUAUUAGGAGGAACACCAGUGGCGAAGGCGGCUUUCUGGACUGUAACUGACGUUGAGGCGCGAAAGCGUGGGUAGCAAACAGG
RNAcentral lists this ribosomal RNA (404 nucleotides) under uncultured bacterium. Its description in RNAcentral is "bacterial SSU rRNA". It matches the Rfam family "Bacterial small subunit ribosomal RNA", at positions 355 to 776 of the family's 1533-position model. RNAcentral also lists the same sequence under 1 other name. The record is from RNAcentral.